Molecule: long non-coding RNA, 401 nt
Organism: Pipra filicauda (Wire-tailed manakin)
Lineage: Eukaryota; Metazoa; Chordata; Aves; Passeriformes; Pipridae
Exons: 3
Source: RefSeq, a predicted model, not a curated record
AGGCAAGGAAGUCAUCUGACACUCUUUGGCUGAAGAGCUGUUGGGGAAAGUCAGUGACCAGCUUUGUUGUUCCAAAAUAAAAUGGAGGUUUAGAGAAGUGACUGUGUUGUAGUCCCACUAAAGGUGAGAGUGGAUUGGAAUUGCAAGACCAAAAAUGGAACCGUAUCCUGCACAGCCCUCUUGGACCAGGACAUGGAAAGGACAGCACUGGAAGGCUUAUGCACUACCAAAUGUGCUUUCACAACCUCUUUGGCUACAGAGACAUCCUGCAUCCCACAUGCAUCUCACCUGGUAAACAUGAAUUUGCUCUGGCUAUUCUUUACACCAGUAGAACACAAGAAAGUAGCUUUCCAAAAAUCAAAAUAGUGGACAGCUCGAGCUCAUGGACCUCCACAGGAAUU